UUUUGACCAGCUUGAAAUUUUGCCCUUCCUUUGUUUUGAUACUGGGUGAGCAAAGUUUCAGGUGUGUCAAAGA
Molecule: non-coding RNA, 73 nt
Organism: Dendroctonus ponderosae (mountain pine beetle)
Lineage: Eukaryota; Metazoa; Arthropoda; Insecta; Coleoptera; Curculionidae
Source: Rfam